UAGCUCAGAUGGUAAAGAAUCUUCCUGCAAUGAAGAAGACCCAGGUUCGAUCCCUGG
RNAcentral lists this transfer RNA (57 nucleotides) under Ovis aries (sheep). It matches the Rfam family "tRNA", at positions 8 to 63 of the family's 71-position model. Rfam says of the family: Transfer RNA (tRNA) molecules are approximately 80 nucleotides in length. Their secondary structure includes four short double-helical elements and three loops (D, anti-codon, and T loops). Lineage: Eukaryota; Metazoa; Chordata; Mammalia; Artiodactyla; Bovidae. The record is from Rfam by way of RNAcentral.